Molecule: ribosomal RNA, 253 nt
Filed under: uncultured bacterium
Lineage: Bacteria
Description: partial 16S ribosomal RNA
Rfam family: Bacterial small subunit ribosomal RNA
Source: RNAcentral
UACGUAGGCAGCGAGCGUUGUUCGGAGUUACUGGGCGUAAAGGGUGUGUAGGCGGUUUUCUAAGUUUGGUGUGAAAUCUCCCGGCUUAACCGGGAGGGUGCGCCGAAAACUGGGAGACUAGAGUGCGGGAUGGGAGAGUAGAAUUCCUGGUGUAGCGGUGAAAUGCGCAGAUAUCAGGAGGAACGCCGGUGGCGAAGGCGGGACUCUGGGCCGAUACUGACGCUGAGGAGCGAAAGCGUGGGGAGCAAACAGG